UAGUCCACGCCGUAAACGAUGUUUGCUAGGUGUUGGUGGUAUUCACCCCAUCAGUGCCGAAGUUAACGCAUUAAGCAAACCGCCUGGGGAGUACGGCCGCAAGGCUAAAACUCAAAGGAAUUGACGGGGCCCGCACAAGCGGUGGAGUAUGUGGUUUAAUUCGACGCAACGCGCAGAACCUUACCUAGCCUUGACAUCUUGGAAAUCCCUUGGAAACUUGGGAGUGCCUCCUCACGGAGGAAUCCAAUGACAGGUGUUGCAUGGCUGUCGUCAGCUCGUGUCGUGAGAUGUUCGGUUAAGUCCGGCAACGAGCGCAACCCUUGUCGUUAGUUGCCAGCACGUAAUGGUGGGCACUCUAGCGAGACUCCCGGUGUUAAACCGGCGGAAGAUGGGGAUGACGUCAAGUCCUCAUGGCCCUUACGGCUAGGGGCUACACACGUACUACAAUGG
RNAcentral lists this ribosomal RNA (450 nucleotides) under uncultured bacterium. RNAcentral's name for it is "bacterial SSU rRNA". It matches the Rfam family "Bacterial small subunit ribosomal RNA", at positions 791 to 1233 of the family's 1533-position model. The record is from RNAcentral.